CCCUUAGAUGUUCUGGGCAGCACGCGCGCUACAAUGGUCUUCGCAAACGGAUGCAUUCUCGAAGGAGAAUGCCAAUCUUGGAAUCUAUGCCUUGGUCGGGACAGUUGCUUGCAAUUUUUCGACUCGAACCAGGAAUUCCUUGUAAUCGUGAUUCAUCACAUCACGAUGAUUACGUCCCUGCCCUUUGUACACACCGCCCGUCGCUCCUACCGAUUGAAUGGUCCGGUGAAGCGUUCGGACCGUGGCCUUUGGACGGUUCGCCGUCUGUUGGCUGCGGGAAGUUCGUUAAACCUUAUCAUUUAGAGGAAGGAGAAGUCGUAACA
Molecule: ribosomal RNA, 323 nt
Filed under: uncultured eukaryote
Lineage: Eukaryota
Description: partial 18S ribosomal RNA
Rfam family: Eukaryotic small subunit ribosomal RNA
Source: RNAcentral